CCUACGGGUGGCUGCAGUGGGGAAUUUUGGACAAUGGGGGCAACCCUGAUCCAGCCAUUCCGCGUGAGUGAAGAAGGCCUUCGGGUUGUAAAGCUCUUUCGCAAGGGAAGAAAACUUACUCAAUAACACUGGGUGAGGCUGACGGUACCUUGAUAAGAAGCACCGGCUAACUACGUGCCGGCAGCCGCGGUAAUACGAAGGGUGCGUACGUUAAUUAGAAUUAGCGGGCGUGGUUUUGUAAGUGAGGUGUGAAAUCCCCGGGCUCAACCUGGGAACUGCGUUUGAAACUACAAGGCUAGAGUAUGGCAGAGGUGGGUAGAAUUCCACGUGUAGCAGUGAAAUGCGUAGAGAUGUGGAGGAAUACCAAUGGCGAAGGCAGCCCCCUGGGUCAAUACUGACGCUCAUGCACGAAAGCGUGGGGAGCAAACAGGAUUAGAUACCCCAGUAGUC
RNAcentral lists this ribosomal RNA (450 nucleotides) under uncultured bacterium. RNAcentral describes it as "partial 16S ribosomal RNA". It matches the Rfam family "Bacterial small subunit ribosomal RNA", at positions 338 to 795 of the family's 1533-position model. The record is from RNAcentral.